Molecule: long non-coding RNA, 213 nt
Filed under: Elaeis guineensis (African oil palm)
Lineage: Eukaryota; Viridiplantae; Streptophyta; Magnoliopsida; Arecales; Arecaceae
Description: long non-coding RNA (EGUI_LNC002689)
Source: RNAcentral
AAAAAUUCUAGCUUACAUUUGAUAAAAUUGAAGAGGUAAUUUGUCAAACUUGGUAUUGUAAGGGUCAUCAUUCACCUGGAGUUAAACUGACUAAGGUCCUUCGAAACACCAAACAAGCACUUAAGUGGUGGAAGCAAAGCAUCAAUAAUCUAUUUCACAAAGGAUAUCUACUAAAUGAAUGUAUCUAUCAAUAAAAAACAUUGAAAGCUUAAC